This 675-nucleotide non-coding RNA is filed under the name Brassica napus (rape). RNAcentral describes it as "rRNA SSU_rRNA_eukarya". It matches the Rfam family "Eukaryotic small subunit ribosomal RNA", at positions 1118 to 1823 of the family's 1831-position model. Lineage: Eukaryota; Viridiplantae; Streptophyta; Magnoliopsida; Brassicales; Brassicaceae. RNAcentral also lists the same sequence under 1 other name. The record is from Rfam by way of RNAcentral.
GGGGAGUAUAAACUUAAAGGAAUUGACGGAAUGGCACCACCAGGAGUGGAGCAUGCGGCUUAAUUUGACUCAACACGGGGAAACUUACCAGGUCCACACAUAGUAAGGAUUGACAGACUGAGAGGCCUUUCUUGAUUCUAUGGGUGGUGGUGCAUGGCCGUUCUUAGUUGGUGUAGCGAUUUCUCUAGUUAAUUUCAUUAACAAACGAGACCUCAGCCUGCUAACUAGCUACGUGGUGGCAUCCCUUCACGGCCGGCUUCUUAGUGGGACUAUGGCCGUUUAGGCCGAGGAAGUUUGAGUCAAUAAAAGGUAUGUGAUGCCCUUAGAUGUUCUGGGCCGCACGUGCGCUACACUGAUGUAUUCAACGAGUUUACACCUUGGCCGACAGGCCCAGGUAAUCUUUGAAAUUUCAUCGUAAUGGGGAUAGAUCAUUGCAAUUGUUGGUCUUCAACGAGGAAUUUCUAGUAAGCGCGAGUCAUCCGCUCGUGUUGACUACGUCCCUGCCCUUUGUACACACCGCCCGUCGCUCCUACCCAUUGAAUGAUCCGGUGAAGUGUUUGGAUCGCGGCGACGUGGGUGGUUCGCCGUCUGCGACGUCGCGAGAAGUCAACUAAACCUUAUCAUUUAGAGGAAGGAGAAGUCGUAACAAGGUUUCGGUAGGUGAACCUGCAGAAG